This 73-nucleotide transfer RNA is filed under the name Camelus bactrianus (Bactrian camel). It matches the Rfam family "tRNA". From Rfam's summary of the family: Transfer RNA (tRNA) molecules are approximately 80 nucleotides in length. Their secondary structure includes four short double-helical elements and three loops (D, anti-codon, and T loops). RNAcentral also lists the same sequence under 2 other names. The record is from Rfam by way of RNAcentral. Lineage: Eukaryota; Metazoa; Chordata; Mammalia; Artiodactyla; Camelidae.
GAGGGUAUAGCUCAAGUGGUAGAGCAUGAGGUUAGCAUGCAUGAGGUCCUGGGUUCAAUCCCCAGUACCUCCU